RNAcentral lists this non-coding RNA (44 nucleotides) under Schistosoma bovis. The record is from RNAcentral. RNAcentral also lists the same sequence under 1 other name. Lineage: Eukaryota; Metazoa; Platyhelminthes; Trematoda; Strigeidida; Schistosomatidae.
AUCCAACUGAUGAGUCCCAAAUGGGACGAAAUGCGCUCCUAGAU